RNAcentral lists this ribosomal RNA (61 nucleotides) under Chlorella sorokiniana. RNAcentral's name for it is "partial 28S ribosomal RNA". The record is from RNAcentral. Lineage: Eukaryota; Viridiplantae; Chlorophyta; Trebouxiophyceae; Chlorellales; Chlorellaceae.
UCGACCUGAGCUCAGGCAAGAUUACCCGCUGAAACUUUAAGCAUAUCAAUAAGCGGAGGAA